UAACAAGGUUUCUGUAGGUGAACCUGCAGAAGGAUCAUUAGUGAAGAUUUGGGCAGGCCAUACGGACGCCACAAAGUGUCCCUGGCCGCCUACACCCACUAUACAUCCACAAACCCGUGUGCACUGUCCUUGGAAAGGGCAUUUGGAGAGAAAAAGGAAGAGAGAAGCGAGAACAGUGCGAUCCGUCGCGUUGGGCGUUGAUCUCUGGCUUGGUCUCUCUGAGGCCCUUUCCUCGCUACAAACUCGAAUGGUUAGUAUGAACGUGGAACUUGGUUGGACCGUCACUGGCCAACAAACUAUACACAACUUUCGACAACGGAUCUCUUGGUUCUCCCAUCGAUGAAGAACGCAGCGAA
RNAcentral lists this unclassified non-coding RNA (356 nucleotides) under uncultured fungus. RNAcentral describes it as "partial contains 18S rRNA, ITS1, 5.8S rRNA". The stretch from base 305 to 356 matches the Rfam family "5.8S ribosomal RNA", at positions 1 to 52 of the family's 154-position model. Lineage: Eukaryota; Fungi. The record is from RNAcentral.